RNAcentral lists this ribosomal RNA (491 nucleotides) under uncultured bacterium. RNAcentral describes it as "bacterial SSU rRNA". It matches the Rfam family "Bacterial small subunit ribosomal RNA", at positions 28 to 507 of the family's 1533-position model. The record is from RNAcentral.
GAUGAACGCUAGCUACAGGCUUAACACAUGCAAGUCGAGGGGAAACGACAUCGAAAGCUUGCUUUUGAUGGGCGUCGACCGGCGCACGGGUGAGUAACGCGUAUCCAACCUGCCCACCACUUGGGGAUAACCUUGCGAAAGUAAGACUAAUACCCAAUGACGUCUCUAGAAGACAUCUGAAAGAGAUUAAAGAUUUAUCGGUGAUGGAUGGGGAUGCGUCUGAUUAGCUUGUUGGCGGGGUAACGGCCCACCAAGGCGACGAUCAGUAGGGGUUCUGAGAGGAAGGUCCCCCACAUUGGAACUGAGACACGGUCCAAACUCCUACGGGAGGCAGCAGUGAGGAAUAUUGGUCAAUGGGCGAGAGCCUGAACCAGCCAAGUAGCGUGCAGGAUGACGGCCCUAAUGGGUUGUAAACUGCUUUAUAAGGAAUAAAGUGAGCCUCGUGAGGCUUUUUGCAUGUACCUUAUGAAUAAGGACCGGCUAAUUCCGUG